This is a non-coding RNA of Camellia sinensis, 6316 nucleotides long. The record is from RefSeq and is a predicted model, not a curated record. NCBI's taxonomy places the organism in Eukaryota, Viridiplantae, Streptophyta, Magnoliopsida, Ericales, Theaceae.
UGAAUAAUCCUCAAUUUGUUCAAAACACAUUUAUGGUAAUGUUAAAUCAUCAUUCGGACCUGCCCGAAUUAACAUUUGGUUUUCCUUCCAAACCCUAGAAAUACGAAAACCCUAUUCUGUAAAUAAAAUUGCGUCAUCGGUAGCGAGUGAAAUUGAGUAAUUCUGUGGUUGUAGUUGACGUUACCGAUGUUACUCUGGCAAGCUCCGAGUUUACAUCCACCCAUCGUGCUGGUGAACAAUGGCGUCAGGUAGUGCAGGAAGGCAAGGCUCUAAACGUAAGGCUGAUGAGAACACCUCAUUCAAAGUUGUCCGUUCAAACGUCCACCCGGUUGGACUGUGAUGGUGCACGAUUUGGAAACUGGGACGUGGAAGCAUCACAAUUCCAUGAGGUAAAGACAAAGGAUGCAAGAUGAGCAUUACAAUGAGGCACUGAAAGUGAAACAUUGGAUGGUCGACCACCAUACUAGCUUCGUGAAACCAAGGAUGGUAACCAACAAUGCACUGAUCCAAGAUUUUGAUGGCACGCUUGUGUUGGUUGUAGACUUCCCACAAGAAGGACCGAACACGUCGGACUAUGCGAUCUUCAUUUGUUUCAUCAUCCGACAAUACGUUCACAGGGUUGAAAUUGACAACACAAUAGAUGGACUAACACAAUCCGUUCUACGCGCGAUGAUGGUGAAAAUGUUCAUGAUCAACCCAACAAGAGGACGACUACGUGGUAGGAUAGCAUGCUAUGUUUGACAGCCCCCCAAUCCCCCCACCCCCUGCAAGUUUGACUUGGGUUUUGCAUUUUUUUUUUUUUGGGUUCAUUUUUUGACAUUGAUGAACAUUGUGGAAGCCAGUGUUUCAUGCCAAUUUUUGUUGGCCAUUUAAUUAGGUGAAUUUUGAUUUUGUUUUCACCAUGUGCCGUUAUGCCUUAGUAAACAAUUACAUUAUAUUGCAGUUAAUAAAAAUAUUAUUUUCGGUAUGUGUCAGUGUAUGAAUUUAUGUAUUUUGGGUCCACAACGAAUGGUGAUGUUGUUAUGUUUGUAUGGUAAAUGAGAAUUGUGAACGCGGUUGGUAUGAUUGUAAGUGUUUUAAACCUAGGUGUCAGUUAUGCAUUAGGUGCAUCAAAUUUUGUUUAAUGGAAAAUGUUGUUGUCCUGGUUAUUUUAAACAUCAUAUUGUAAUCGAAUUAUGCUAAUGUCACGGGAAUUUGAUAGGACCCAUUGUGAAUUUAUUUGUGGUUGCUCAAUGACUUGUUGAAACAAAGCAAGUUUGUACAUGGUAGUUGGUGGAUCUAUGCAUUCGAUAUGGAGAAUUACAUUACUGAAAAAAGUGUAUGUGGCCCCCCUUCAUGUGUGGCUCGUAAAUUACAUCACAAACAGUCAUAGUGAAAUUGAACUUUAACACAUAGAUCUCACCCCACCCCCUCGUACCUGGGUUCGAACAAAUUGAGUUACUAAAUAGUUGAAUACUUAAAAAACAACAUGUCAAUGGAUUUGAACAAAAUAAAGUAAUAAGCAUUCCAAAACUUGAUAACGAAUGGUAUGUCAUUGUGCGGCACCCGCCUUACCAUAAUAUGAACUUGAAUAAGAAUGACGUAAUAAACAGUUCAAUACGCUUUGGAUGUGACGCCCUUUGGCCAAAAUGUUUGGUGACAUAACCCAACAACACAGCAAAAAAAAUUGAAUGGUACACCUCUACAUUCCCCAAGUGCAUGUUGUAAUAUACCCAUAUUGUAACACAAACAAUGCCAUCAAACCACUUACAUGUGGCACCUAUGGUCUCAUUUUUUUUUUUUUUUUCUCUUCCCGUUUUCGCAUAAACACCGAAACCAAUGACUUAGUGAUCUACUAAACAAGUAGAUAAUUCGUAAAAAAUUGCAAAUUCACCAAAAAUAUUAUUUAUGUAGUAACGUAUAUUCCACGAAUUGGGCAUACACAUUAAAUAGGUAAAAUGUCAUAGACUUCUACUAAGAUAAAUUUGGGCAGAUGGGGUUGCCUGUAGGAAAGCGUGAACGGGAAUGACAUAGGAAAUUAUUUGUUGUGAACUUGAGUUUGACCACCGUAGGAAUCGAGUAGACCUAGAAUACGCUGCCCUAAACUCCUUAACGUGGUAAAAUGGAUCAAUGGACUCGUGGUAUUCCAGAAAGCAACUACCGCAUGAGAACAUGGGAAACAAUGGAAAAAAAAAAAAAUCAACCACAACUCCUUCAACAAAACCAAUGAUUCCACAUUAGAAACACCACACUAAUUGGGUAACAUCAUCAACCCUACAAAUCACUCCACGCAAUCCAAAAAAAAAAAAAAUAGAAACAGAACAACAUAUCAUAACAAACCCACCUAACAUCAAGAAAAAAUCAAAACAUUCCAGUUGUGAAUUUGUUAAUGUUAUUGGCAAUUUGUGGGUUGGGUUACGGAUGGUUUUUGACCCAUUGUGUUUGCUUUGGUGUGUUUACGUCAACUGUGAUGGUAAUGAUAUUUUGGGUUCCUCUGUUUUGUUGUUAGAGCAUGUUAGCUUGUUAUGGUAAUGGUUCAUUAGAGGCUUUUUAUUUUUAUUUAUUUUUUUUUGGGAGGGGGGGUGGUUUACAUUAACUGUAAUGAUGUUGGUAUUUUGUGAUUAUGAUUGUGUGCCUAGUGUUUUGUCAUAUUGGGUGCAGUGGACAAGGAGAUGGUUCCUCUGUUUUUGUUUUGGUGUGUAUUAGCGUAUGAUGAUGUGUAUUGGAAAUGAGAUUUGUAUAAUUAGAUGAUGGGAGUAGUUUGUGUGUGUAAUUUUGGUAUGCCAUCACACACCACCAACACCACAAAUAAAAUAAACAUACAACGUUUAACACAUCAAAUAGUCGAACUACUCACCUGUUACAAUAUGAUGGGCGUAAUCAACACCUGAUGACACCCAAGAAACACCACAGAAAAUGAGUGCAAAAAUGGAUUAUGGUCGCCACUGGAAAAAAUGCCCAACACGACAGGAAAUAACGCCACACUCUCCCUCCACAACAAUGAGAUCAAUGUUAAACAAUCAAAACAGAGUCCCCAUGAUAACAUUGCUCUGCCCUAUCCAAAACAGAAUCACUCAUUUAGGAAAACACAAUCACACCAAGAAUAUUCAUGUAAAAUCAAAUAGAACCAAAAUCACCUUAAAUAUAUAUAUAUAUAUAUAUAUGGGACUAAUUGGUCUACUAGAAAACUUUUAAGACUAAAUAAUUUAACUUUUCUUCAUAUAGGAUUUAUGGGUAAUUUUCCAAUUUAAUUAAGUAGAAGAGCAAUGCUAGGUGGCCCGAAAAGGAGGUUGGCUCGAAUGGCUUGAAUUUCACCUUGCCGGUCGUCUGCGUGAGAAGGCUAACAGCCGCGGUCGACAAAGGUGAUAACCGCGGUAGACAAGUUUUCAUCCGCUCGUCCGGGUGGAUGACCGGCCAACACCCAUUCGGACCAUUUGAGCAGCUUUUUUUCGAGCUACCAAGCAUUUUGCUAUGAAGAAUUGUACUCAUUUUUAAUUCCACCUUCCCAAUAUGGGUAAUUAUAUGUAUACUUUUUAAUCACAAUUCCUAAAUGAAUGUGAUUAUAUGCAUCACUCUUCCUUAUAAACCCCAUGGACUCCUUCAACUCUGCUCUCUCUCGAUCGAUUGAUCGACCAUGACAACACCAAAUCUACCUCCACUGCCACCACCGUUUCUUCUUCUUCCUCCAAAUCUGCCGCUGCGGAGUAUCUGAUCAUCAGUUUCCGGCAACGGUCAGCGGCGGCGAUGGAGGGAGGAGGCGGCGAAGUAGUUAUCAUUACAAAUUCUAUCUCCGGCGCUCCCGACGACCUCCACAACUCUACUUCUGGUUGGAAGACUGAAAGAUACAAGGAAAUUAUCAAAUCUGGAACUGUAAGUAGGAAUUUAUUUAUUCUUCAUUUAUGAUUACUUGUUAGUUCAUCUACAUGGGUGAUUAUUCUGGAUGAAUGAUUUCCAAGAAAAUCGAUUUGUCUUGUUAAUGGGCAAGUGGAGCCCAGACCUGGAGUUUUGAGAUUGAUGGAUAGGGCCAAGGCUGCCGUAAGAUAGACAUUUUACCUUAUAAAUGCAAUCGUCACUUUGUCAUGGCUCUUAAGUUUUCAUUGUAUUUGCAUCUGUUGUCCACAGUUAAUUAGGGAAGACAACUUUUCUUUCCAAAGUUUAGUCAAAUUCCAUGUUCCCUUUCUUACAUGAAGAAUCAUAUUUGAAUUAACCUUUUUGGUUGACGAUUAUUGGGUAAAAAUUAGCAGUCUGCUCUGCUGCAACUAAAAAAGUUCUUUUUCAAUCCUCAAACCCUUUCUUUUAUUCUAUCAAAUUUAAAUUUGAUGAAAAAUUGUCCAAAAUCCAUCUCCAACCUUUUCAUAAAAUGCUUAUCAAAUCAAGAAAAAAACACUUUUUUCAUCUCAUUGAGUGAAGCAUUUGGAAUAUUCUCUAUAUUGAGUGAAGCAUUACCAAAUUUCAUCAACAACAUGAGCACUAGGCAAGCAAAGUUAUCCUGAACCAGGUGCUUUGGCUUAUGCUCCCAUUUAGGUAUUAUUCUCCUGAACCAGGUGCUAGUGCCAGAAAUAAGGUCAAGAGACAUGUGCAUAUAUUUAGUUCUCAUAAGAAGGUAAAGCUCUUACAACAAGUGAAUAAACAUGUAUCAAGGUAGGUUGAUGUGCACCAUAACUCAUGACAAUGCUAAAUUCAGUAGGUGUAUGAUUUGUUUGACUAGAGUGUUUACAUAUGUUUCAAUGUACGGUAUUUUAUUUGAGUUUUUUUUAUUUUCUGAAAUGUUUAGUUCAUAUAAGAAGGUAAAGUUCCUGUAAGUGAAUAAACAUGUAUCAAGGUAGGCUGAUGUACACCAUAAAUUGAGUGUUUACAUAUAUUUCAAAUGUGUCAUAUGUGACUUGCGCUUUUAAUUUUCUGAAAGUCGAGCAUUCAUGCUACAUUAGUUAGGUGCUUUAACUUUCUAAUAAUUUAAUCUCAUUAUGCGAGUGUAUAAUCUAGGUGUCUAUAUAUAUUUAUAUGCAUGUAGGUUAGUGUCAUUGCCUUUUUAAUUUUGGGCAGCGAUACGACCCUUCAUAGUUCAUGGGGAUGCUUUGAACUUAUAGAUUUUUUACCCAAAGCUUAUUUGUGGUUCUCAUUUUUCUCUUCCUUUUUGAUUGCAAUAAUUUGUGUUUGUCAUGUGUUCUGGUUUUUGCAACUAACUUCUGCAGAUUGUUGGGUUGUGCGCUGCCUUCUAUUAUGUGGCAAUUUGGGUUGGAUACACAAACGUGCACUUAAUCUUUGGUGUUUCUACAACUUUAGAGCAUGUGCGGCUCAGUAGGGAGAGCUGAAUAAUCAGUUGAAGCAGUAGCUCUAGAAGAUCUAGGAGAAACAAAAUUCCAAGAAGGAAAUUGAAUAGCUUGAGUUGAAGUCUUGUUUUUACAAGCGUCAGUUCGCCAAGAGCAUUCACUAGCAUACCUAACAAACCAGAGAGGCGGUAAUAAUUAUAACACAACACUCUGAAAACGGCAAACAUAGCUGGGUCUUAUGUCAAAGUUACAAGUAACUUCGGAGUUGAAAUCUUAUACCCACUGUGAUUCAUUCCUUCCUCUAUGAUUCAUUCCUUCGUCUUCUAAAGUUAAUGACCCUUUCCCAUUGUCAAGCAUAAGGUCUUUAUUUUUAGCUGUUCAGUUACUUCAAUUGGUAUUGAUUUUUAAUAACCUUAGUUUUUGUUCUAUUUAUUAUUUAUUUAAUGGAAAUGGUUAAGUUUUAUCAUCAACUUAAGCGCUAACUAGGAACAAAAUCAUCUGUUCUUGCCAGCUGAAGCAAUGGAAUUUUAGUAUAUUCAAGUUGAGGCUUUUGUAUUGUUUUGGGAUUGGCCAAGCACUACGUUAGUGCUCUUUCAUCCCUAGCUUGAACCCUAAUUCAUUUUUUAUAUGAAUUACCCUUUCUCCGUUUUUCACAGUAUGGAGUUUGAAUUAUUUCGUUGGCCCCAACUCCAAGGGCUGUUCUCUAGAGAGACUCUAAAUCGUGUUACAUCUUGAUUAAGAGAGUAAUGUGAUUAUGUGAUAUUCUUUUUCCGGGAAAAUGCUUGACAUGUCAACAAAACACGAAGUAUCCCUCUUUUAUGUAGUGUAUUGCCCAGCUCUCUCCAUUUUAAUCUGUUCUUCUUUGUUCUUAGACCACUUAUCAAGAAUUUUAUAUUUUUCCUUACCUAUCCAGUUGAUGUAUCUGGAUGAUGUUACCCCUGCAUUUAAUUUUAAGUCUUAGCUGAUUAAUUCAAACUCUGAUAAAUCCUAUCAACUUUUUAGAUUUUUUUUUCUUCUAAUUUUUGUUUUCUUUAAUUUUAAACAAAUUAAUCAGUUUAUUUCUAUGC